Molecule: long non-coding RNA, 2472 nt
Organism: Gopherus flavomarginatus (Mexican gopher tortoise)
Lineage: Eukaryota; Metazoa; Chordata; Testudines; Testudinidae
Exons: 2
Source: RefSeq, a predicted model, not a curated record
CUCAACUGGAGUAUUGUGUCCAGUUCUGGGCACCGCAUUUCAAGAAAGAUGUGGAGAAAUUGGAGAGGGUCCAGAGAAGAGCAACAAGAAUGAUUAAAGGUCUUGAGAACAUGACCUAUGAAGGAAGGCUGAAGAAUUGGGUUUAUUUAGUUUGGAAAAGAGAAGACUGAGAGGGGACAUGAUAGCAGUUUUCAGGUAUCUAAAAGGGUGUCAUCAGGAGGAGGGAGAAAACUUGUUCACCUUAGCUUCUAAUGAUAGAACAAGAAGCAAUGGGCUUAAACUGCAGCAAGGGAGAUUUAGGUUGGACAUUAGGAAAAAGUUCCUAACUGUCAGGGUAGUUAAACACUGGAAUAGAUUGCCUAGGGAGGUUGUGGAAUCUCCAUCUCUAGAGAUAUUUAAGAGUAGGUUAGAUAAAUGUCUAUCAGGAAUGGUCUAGACAGUAUUUGGUCCUGCCAUGAGGGCAGGGGACUGGACUCGAAGACCUCUCGAGGUCCCUUCCAGUCCUAGGGUCUAUGAAUCUUCAGCUGCUGUAACUCAAGAUAGCUUCUGUGAAGUCAAUGGAGCUACACUGAUUUACACUGGCUGCUCCACUGGACCUCAUUUACCCUGAGGCCCCUUGACGCUGUUCUGGCUGGGUAAAAGUGCGUCAGUGUAAAUGACAAUCAAGCAGAUUUGUCUUUAUUGCCCCAUUCGAAUAUUGCUGUCUGAUCCUUUCAUUUCAGUCUCUCCAGCAGAGAAAACAAAUCUGAGAGCAAGCCCACAACAACUGAGUGGGAUCAAAGGUAGGGAAAGUGAUCUGCCAGCCCUUGUCUAUAGGCCUCGUUCUCAUUUACACUAACACCUGCUCUACCCACAGAUUUUGUCCCAGUAUAACGAUAUCAGUUUGGGGGGGGGGGGAGGUGACUAGUUUACCGAUAUAGUUAUUCCAGUAUAACCCCUAAUGUGUAUGCAGUUAAACCAGUAUAAAGGUGCCUUGUACUGGGUCAUGUAUUCCCCUUCCCAUAUGGGACUAGCUAUACCACUAUAAACCCCUUCAUGUCAGCAUAACUGCAUCCACACUUGGGAGGGAUUUCUCUCUUUACCUAUAUUGGUAUAAAGUGGAAAAGCUUUUGUGUGCCUUAAACCUCUUUCACACAACUGUGGCAGCAGAAAGGAGGUCGUAGCGGGUACAAAUUUGGGUCCCUUUACCCAGCCAGAAUUAUGUAAAAUUGUAAAUGAGACUCUAGGCCAUAUUCUCCUUAGGAAGAACAAACCAGAGAGCACACUUUCUGGCCAUGCUUGGGGCAGUUGCUCUUUGUUUCAGCUCAGCCCAGGACCUCUUCCCUGCUAUAGCUGCCCAUUUCAGAAUAGCUUGCGGUUACUGGCAUGAUGUUAAAAAUUCUCAGGAUUGUGGCCGCUCUGUGGUGGGUGACCACGCACGCCUAUCUCAGAUCUCCUCUGGGUGAUGUUAACAUCAGGUCCUCUUUCCCUCCAGCUCCCCACCCUCCUCGCUCCCUGUAAAUCAGAUAGAUCGGGAUAGAUGUAGUGUUCUUUGGGCUAUGUGCAAAAACCUUUGUAAAAUAGAAUAAACCCUUUAAAUUAUGCACUAAAGAAACAAAACAAACCCCCAACAUAUAUAUAUUGUGGUUAGUCGAAUUGCCUACACAGUUCAGCACGCCUAUAUUGUCACAGGCAGCUUUCAUUUUCCCGCCUGUGAUGGUGCAAAUGUACAAAAAAUUGCGCACUUCCCUUUAUUAGUUGUAUUUAUUGUUUAGAAAGGCAAUUUUAAAAAGCUAUACUCUGUAUCUAUAAGUAUACAUAUAUAUAUAUAUUUUUAACCUCUUCUUUCCCACACCCCGCCUCCCCCCAUGCUCCCUCCCCUUUUUUGUGUGUGAAUUAAGGGAUUCUGUUCUCUUGGGUGGCAGCAGAUCAGUUUUAAAAAAAAAUCCAUGAUCUUCGUGUAGGAGAGAUAUGGGGGGAAGGGUAAUUUUUCUGGGGGGUUGCCCCUCUUUGAUACAUCUGGCUCGUUGGGAGACCAUCGAUCUAGUGAAAGCAAGAAAGCAGUAGAGAAGUGGAUACAUGCGAGUAGCUUGUAAAUUUCCAUCCAGGAUCUUUGACUAGGUCCAUCUUUCUCUAGGCGUUUGCAUCCCUGGGGUCUGUCCUUCUAUAUUAAUCUCCCAACCCCCAGGAGCUCUUUCUUGGUACAUCCUUGCUUUUUUAUCCCCAGUCCUGUCCCUUCCGACCCCACCCAUCCCACCCUCGUUGACAAUCAGUGGCUCCUUCCCAGGGAUGGCAGCACGUCAGUGAGAUGUCUGUUUUGUUUUUUCAAUAUUCCUUUCUUUGUGCUGUAUGGUGAUGCGAUAUUGUAUAUUACACGAUAAGCAAAAGAGAUAAAAAAAUAUUACCAUGAAAAAUUCUGAUGAGUUUUGUUUGAAAACUCUUUCACUAUAUUUGUUGUAAAGAGGUUUACUAUUAAAAAGAAAAACAAAUACA